This 38107-nucleotide long non-coding RNA is filed under the name Capsicum annuum. Its description in RNAcentral is "long non-coding RNA (CANN_LNC017284)". Lineage: Eukaryota; Viridiplantae; Streptophyta; Magnoliopsida; Solanales; Solanaceae. The record is from RNAcentral.
GCUGAAUUUGAGUCUUUCUAAGCGCGGUCGGGAACCUGAGCAUCCGAACCUAUGAUAUGAGACAUCAUAGCACAAAGAAAGAGUAUGCGUAAGUAAGUGGAAUGUACUGGUAUGCUAGAUAAGGUAAGACUGAAUGCAAGGGUUCAUAUGCAUGAACAAUAACUAACUGAAUGAUAAAGAGUAACUGAACAUGAGAGUACAUGGAUAGCUAAUACUAUUGUAAAUACUGAGUAUGCACUAAUAUGCAUAUAAAUAGAUACUGUGACUAAGCAUGUCUGAAGCUAAGUCUUGAAUUCUAAAACUGAGUAACUGAUAUCUGAAGUUACUGAUACCUGAUUUACUGACACUGGUUGACUGUAUCUGACAGUCUUGAUUCUGUAGAACUUAACUGAGUUCUAUAUUAAAGAAUGAGACUGAGACUAUGGGAGGUAAUCAUCUAACCGAAAUACCCCAAAUAAGAUAAGAUAACUGAAUUGGGUUCUAACCUAUGACCCCAGUUUGAAGAGUGUCAGUACCAUGCCACAAGUAAAGACACUGAAGAGUUACCCUCAUCUGGCAUGUACUCUAAUGAGAAUGGUGGAAUGCUAAACUAGGGAAAUCUUAGUAGCUUACUUGGUUAGUUACCUGAACUUCCACCUUGCUGGUGAGGGUUCGAUUCCCCAUAUUGUAAUCCCCUCCCUCUACCCCCAAUUUGAAAAAAAAAUCCUCAACUGACAGGUUUGAUGUCUCAACCUACGUUGGCUACUUAGUUCUAGAAUGCAAGGAUUGCUUCUAGAGAUCACACCCUCUAUUGGUAGGUGAGCCCCAUCCUUGGGUUCACUCGGUGUUGAAUCCUACUCUCAACUGAAAGACACUGAAUUGAGUAUUCUGAACUGGACUGGAAUGAUACUGAGCUUACUGAGUUUUCCUGAGUUCGGUAACUGACUGAGUUCUACUAAGUUCUGUAACUAACUGAGAGUACUAUUGAGCGUGACAUGACUAAGAUUCUAUAACUGACACUGGCUCUAGGUACACAGCUAAAUUGUCAGGUAUUAAAUACCCCAAGACUUGAUAGCACAAAAAAUAAAGCAUAAUAUAUUCUUGGAAAUCAUAAUAAUGUAUACUUCUCCAUAGUUCACUCAUAGAGGCAUUUAAUCAAAUACUUGUAAUGUAUCUACUUGUACGUGAAUGGGGAAUACAUGCUAUCAUGUUAUAAUGGCCUUAUUUCAUUCACAUAGUCAUUUUAUCAAACACAUGGGGAGCAUGCUUAAGUUAUACAAUAAUCAAAACAUAUAGUUAUUAUGGCUACAUCAAUCAACUUGAAAAUUGAAGGGUUUAUCAUGAAGAUCAUGUAAUUCAACACAUACAAUGAUUUAUUUCAUAAAAUCAUGUAAUUUAAUCAUGGACUAAAACCCAACAAUAACAUGAACAUGAAUUUUAAUUCAAUUCAAUCAUGGAAGUUCAUAAUUCAACAAUCUUGUAUUUUGAAAAUAGAUUCGUGGACUCUAUCAGUGAAAAGAACCCAAACAUGAACACACAUACCUUAGGUUAUUAGUUCUUGAAGGUGCUUGAAGAAAUUCUUGUGUUUUGACCUUGAUUCUUGAAGCUAAGGUUUGUAGUUUUAAGAGAAAGCUUUUAUUUCUUGAGAUAAGUGAGCAAAUAAUGGGAUAAUAGUCUAUUUAGGGAUUUAAUCCCAUCUUUAGGCUGACUGGAAUGACGAAAAAAGUCCUAAAAGCCCUUGGAAAUUAAAUCUCAGAAUUAACUGAAAUGUCCCAAUUUUCACCCUUGGCGCAACGCGGCGCUAUUGUGCCGUGUCUUUGGAAAUUGCCAACUAGAAAAAUGCAUGGUGGAGAGAUAUGGUGGUAUCGCGUUUCCACCUUGGAUGAGACCUGGAAGCUUGGCACGAUGUGGUACAAUCGCGUUGCUUUAAUGGAAAUUGAAAAAUGUGAACUGGGUCCUUGGCGCGAUGCACCAAUAUCGCGGUCCCUUAUUGGAAUUAGACAAUUUGGAAUUGAAAGCCCUCCGCAAUGCGGUGAGAUUGUGGAGUCACACUGGAAAUUGACAAUUGUCAUUUAGACUAGCUCUGCGAUGCGCUAGUGAUCAAAAUAAUGGUGUUUAAUGACUGGAACUUAAAAUCGCCAUAACUUCUUACCCGAUUAUCAGAUUUGAGUGAAUUUUAUAUCGUUGGAAAGCUAAUUGAAUUUCCAACAUAAUGGAAGGCUCUAAAAAGAAAUAUAAUGAGAGUUUCAAAAUUUUUUUAUUAGAUAACUCAUGAACUGAGAGUUAAUCUUAAGCUAAGGAAAUACGGGGUAUUACAAUAUCUCCCUCUUAGGAACAUUCGUCCUCGAAUGAGACUAAUUAAGCUGAGAAACUGAUAGACUGAUUUUACAUAUUGAACAUUCAUAUCUGAUGCAUGACUACAUGACGAAAAAACUGACAAAUUGUGCUCUUACACUAAACAUGCAUAUCUGAUGCAUGGAAUACAUGAUUAAAGUACUAAUAAGCUUAAUUUUCAUACUGAACAUACAUAUCUGAUGCAUGAGUACAUGACUGAACUGAUUCAUGAAUGCAUGACUAAAUAUGCAACGGUAAUGGAUACCAAGAUAUAAUUAUAGCUGAAUAUGGAACUGAGUAAAGCUAAGGAAAACUGUUACCUUAAGCUGGAUCUGAGGUUGUGGAGAAGAGGUGAGGAUACUUGGUCCGCAUAUCUGCUUCUUCUUCCCAAGUAGCUCCCUCAAUAGACUGAUUCUACCAAAGAACUUUGACCAAGGGAACUUCUUUGUUCCUCAGUCUGUGAAUCUGAUGAUCUAGGAUCUAGAUUGGAACCUCUUCUAAAGAGAGAUCAUUCUGAAUAUUUAUAUUCUCUAAGGGGAAUAUGACUGCUGGUUCCCCAAUGCAUUUUUUAGCAGGGGGAUAGGGAAUAUUGGAUGUACUGAGGCUAGUUCUAAAGGAACCUCAAACUCAUAAGAUACCUUUCCAAAAACGACUAAGAAUUCUAUAAGGACCGACAUAUCGAUGAUUGAGCUUUCCCUUCUUGCCGAACCUCUUUACCCCCUUCAUGGGAGACAUUUUCAAGAACACAAAAUCAUCGAUCUCAAACUCAAGAUCCUUUCUCCUUAUAUCUGUAUAGGAUUUCUUUCAACUCUGGGCAGCCCUAAGUCUUUCUCUGACUACCUGAACCUUCUCUAAGGCAUCAAACACUUGGUUGGGCCCUACUACUGACUCACCUACCUUGAACCAACUGAUUGGAGAUCAACAUAUCCUACCGUAGAGAACCUCAAAUGAGGCUAUCUGAAUACUGGAAUGAUAGUUUUUAUUGUAUGUGAAUUUGAUCAAAGGCAAGUGGUCAUCCCAACUACCCUUAAAAUUGACAGUACAUGCUCUUAGCAUAUCUUCUAGAGUUUGAAUGGUCCUUUCGGCUUGACCAUAUGUUUGAGGGUGGAAGGUUUUACUGAGAUGAACUUGGGUACCAAGACCCUUUUGGAAUGCUUUUUAGAAAUAAGAGGUAAACUGGGUACCUCUAUUUGAUAUAAUGGAUAUUGGAGCUCCGUGUAACCUGACCAACUCUCUGAUAUAGAGUUUGGUGUAGUCCUCCACUGAAUAGAAAAUAUGAACUGGAAAGAAAUAAGCUGAUUUGGUCAUCCUGUCUAUGAUAACCCAAAUAGAAUCAUAAUGACAACAAGUACGAGGCAAACCUAUCACAAAGUCCAUGUUCACUUCUUCCAAUUUCCAUGUGGGAAUACUGAACUCCUGCAUGGACCUACUAGGCUUCUGGUGCUCAAUCUUAACUUGCUAAGAUGUAGAGUAUUUAGCUACAAAUCUGCAAUAUCCCUCUUCAUCCCACUCCACCAAUAGAUCUCCCAUCAAUCGUGGUACAUCUUUGCAGCCCCUGGAUAAAUCGAGUAACGCGCACCAUGUGCUUCUUCAAGAAUUCGUGGCCUCAAUCCAUCUACACCUAGUACACAUAAAUGACCUUAGCAAUGCAACACACCAUCUCCCCCUUAGGAGAAAACCUCUACUUUCUGAUCUCUGACUAACUCUUUCAGCUUAACAAGACUGUGAUAUCUAUCCUAUUUUUCCUUCACCUCAGAAACUAGAGAGUAUUCAGAACUAUUUUGAACCCACAUACUACCUUCUACUGAAUCGACUAAGAGGAUACCUAGUCGGGCAAGCUGAUGAACUUUCUGAACUAAAUUCUUCUUACUGUCCUCAAUAUGAGCAACACUACCCAUAGAUAGUCUACUGAGAGCAUCAGCCACUAAAUUGGCUUUGCCCAGAUGAUACAGGACACUUAUGUCAUAAUCUUUUAAUAACUCUAACCAUCUUCUCCGAUGAAAAUUCAAAUCUUUCUGAGAGAACACAUACUGAAGAAUUUUAUGAUCUGUGAUCACAUCAAUAAGUACCCUAUACAAGUAAUGCCUCCAAAUCUUUAAGGCAAACACUACAGUUGCUAACUCGAGAUUAUGAGUUGGAUAAUGCUUCUCAUGUGGUUUAAGCUGUCUGGAGGCAUAGGAUAUGACCUUACCUCUUUGCAUGAGGACAUAACCCAAACCUACUCUAGGUGCAUCACAGUACACAACAAAGCCAUCUGAACCAUUUGGUAAAGUCAAAACUAGGGCUGGGGUGAGUUGAGUCUUCCACUCCUGAAAAUGCUUCUUGUAAGAAUCUGACCACUAAAACUGGACUUUCUUCUGAGUCAAUCUGUACAUGGGGGAUGAAAUAGACGAAAACCCUUCAACAAACCAAUAGUAAUAGCCAGCUAAACCCAAGAAACUCCAGAUAUCUGAUGGAGAGUAAAUUUUAGGCAAGUUUCUCACCGCCUUAGUCUUUUAAGGAUCAACUCUGAUGUCAUUAACAGAAACAAUUUGACCAAGGAAUACUAUCGACUUUAGCCAAAAUUCACACUUACUGAAUUUGGUAAAUAAUUAAUGAGUUCUGAGAGUCUGAAGUUUAAUUUUGAGGUGUUCUGCAUAAUCAAUCUCGCUACGGGAGUAGACAAGAAUGUCAUCAAUGAAGACUAUAACAAAUAUGUCUAAGUAAUGUUUGAACACGCGAUUCAUUAAGUCCAUGAAAGUUGUUGGGGAAUUUAUAAGGCCAAAGGACAUGACUAGAAACUCGAAGUGACCAUACCGGGUUCUGAAAGCUAUAUUUGAAAUGUCAUAUUCUCUGACUCUAAGCUGAUGAUAGCCUGAUCUGAGGGUUAUCUUAGAAAAGUAACUAGUGCCCUGAAAUUGGUCAAACAAGUCAUUGAUUAUGGGAAGUGGAUAUUUAUUCUUGACUGUUACUUUGUUCAACUGACGGUAGUCAAUACACAUUUUGAGAGAACCAUCUUUCUUAUGCAUGAAUAAGACUGGUGCACCCCACGGAGAAAUGCUGGGUCUGAUGAAUCCCUUAUCUAGGAGAUCCUUCAACUGCUCUUUUAACUCUCUAAGUUCUGUUGGUGCCAUUCUAUAUGGCGAAAUAGAUGUAGGUUGAGUGUUUUGAAAAGGUUUAUUUCAAAGUUUAUUUCACUAACGGGAGGAACUCUAGAAAGAUCUUCGAGAAACAAAUCUGUGAAUUCAUUUACUACUAGAACUAACUCAAGACUGGGAGUUUCUGAGUUAGAGUAUUUGACUCACACAAGAUGGUAGACAUAUCCCUUGUAUAUUAUUUUUUUUUCUCUAAGGUAUGAAAUCAACUAAUCCUUAAGCGUUGUGGUACUACCCCUCCAUUCAAGGAUUGGUUUAUUAGGAAACUGAAAAUGAACUAUUUUGUUUCUAUAAUCAACUGAGGCAUAACAUGAUAGGAGCCAAUCUGUACCAAAAAUAACAUCAAAAUCUGCCAUCUCUAACUCUACAAGUCCUGCUGAAGUAACUUUAUGAGAUAUCAUAACCGAACAGUUCCUGUAUACCCAUCCGACUAUGAUAGAUUUACCUACUGGGGUAGAAACUGAAAAAGGCUAUGCUAGAAUUUUUAGACUGACUCUGAAUUUAAUGGCUAUGUACGGAGUUAUGAAAGAUAAAGAAGCUACUAGAUCUAAUAAGGCAUAAAUAUGUAAAUGGAAGAUCUGUAAUAUACCAGUGACCAUAUUAGGAGAAUUUUCCUAAUCUUUUCUAGACUAAAAUUCUUAAAGCCUAUUUGGGCAUUGGCUACUGAUGGCACUGGAAGCGGCAUCCUGCUAAUUCAGGUAACCUGACUGAGAUAAAGAAAGAGUAUGCUGACCCUGAGAACCUAACUAAGGACAAUCUAUGACUCUAUAUCUUGACUUGCCACAUCCAAAACAAACCUCACUGCCAGCUCUGCACACACCCUUGUGGUUCAUACCACAUGUUUAACAAAGAGUAUUUGUUUGAGCAUUGCUGACACUACCCUGGGAUUUACAGCCUGGUGCCCCAUCGUUAUUACCAUUUUUGAAAUUAGGUACUAGUGCACUAGCUGAGGAUAGAGUUGGAGCUGAAGAUUUUUUAUGAAACUAGGAAUAGUUACCGCCCUCUAACUUAGGCUGAUUAAAAUUAAAGCUACAUGUUCUAGUUCUCUUAUUCUGCCUCUCUCUCUCUCUCUAAUCUUAGUUUUUUUAUCUACUGAGCAUGAAUCAUAAGCCUGGAUAUGUCCAUAUCCUUAAUCAACAUCAUUGUUCAGCACUCCUUAACAACACUAUCUGAAACCCCAGAUACAAACUUGCUCAUUCUGGACCUACUGUCUACUACUACAUAAGUAGCAUACCUGGCUAACUGAGUAAACUUGAGGGAAUACUCUUUCACACUCAUACUUCCCUGCCUGAGAUUGAUGAACUCUAACACCUUGGCUUCUCUCAGCUCUAAGGGGAAAAAUCUCUCUAAAAAAGCAGUAGCAAACUCUUCCCACUCUAUGGGCUCCAUAUCUAUGCCCCUAUCUACCUUCCACUGCUUAAACAAUGUAUAAGUUACAUUUUGUAGCUGAUAGGUGACUAACUUAGCACUCUCACUUGAAUUCACUCUCAUGAUACUUGUGACUUUCUGAACCUGAUUGAAGAACUCAUAUGGAUCCUCUUCUAGCUUAGAUUCUGAGAAUAGGAGAGGAUUUAUUUAGUUAAAGUCUCGAAUCUCAGCUACAGUAGUAUUGGCCACUUCAUUGGCCAGAACAAAAGUUGGUUGUUCAUUCUGGGCUGCUACUGAAUUGGCUAGAGUAGUGAAUGCAGCUCUGAAUUCUGCAUGGGAUGCAUGCUCAUCCAGGGGAUCUUUCUGAAUGGGCUGAGUUGCUGACUUAUUUACGAUUCUUCUUUCGUUAGUCCUUUUUGGAGGCAUAUUCUGUAAAUAAAAGGAAGAAAUAAAUUAGACUGAGAUUUUAACUUGAGCUCAUGCUCACUCGCACGACAUAAAUACUGAAAGAAGGGAAACUUUUCCUAAAACAUCUCAUAUCCUUUUGUCCAUAAGUGUGGUGUGCUACACACCUAUGCAUAAUAGUCUACUUGAUGUGGUUUUCAGACUCCCUAGGACUCUGUUGAACCUUAGGAUCUAAUACCAAGUUUGUAAUUCCCCGAGUCUAUACGUCGAAUGAUAUAUGGUGCUUACGACCCCGAAGGACUACAAGCUAACCUAUGAAUAAUAUCUGUUGUGAGCACUAAUAGAUAAUACUGUAAUAAAUGCAGAAUAAUAGGCUGAAAUGCCAUAAGGUUCAAAACAUCUCAUAUAUAAAUAAAUUAUAUCAUCUGAAAUAACAAACUGUAAAACUAAACACUAUCUGAAAACUAGUCUAAAAAACCUCUAACUGAAACUUUUUGAAAGUAGAGUUGAUAGGACAAUCCCCUAACUAACUCCAUCUACUGAAAUACUGAUUCUACUAAAAUAAUAAAAUAAAAAAUAUCCUCAAAUGAUGAGGACUCAUUGCUAAUCUACUGCUGCUGGUUGAAUUUGAGUCUAUCUAUGCGCAGUCUAUCUAUGGUUGAAAUACUGCCGUGGUGUAUGCUUUUUGCAGACGAUGUAGUUCUGAUAGAUGAGACUCGAGGGGGUGUGAAUGAUAAAUUAGAGUUGUGAAGGCAAACUCUUGAGUCUAAAGGGUUCAGGGUGAGCAGAAGCAAGAUAGAGUAUGUGGAAUGCAAGUUUAAUGACGUGAGGCGAGAGAAUGAGGUAGUAGUGAAGCUGGAAGCACAGGAGGUAUGUAAGAGGGAUAAGUUCAAGUAUCUUGGGUCCGUGAUCUAGAGUAACGGUGAGAUUGAUGAGGAUGUCUCGCAUCGUAUUGGGGCGGGAUGAAUGAAGUGGAAACUCGCAUCGGGGGUGCUGUGUGAUAAGAAGGUGCCGCCCAAGCUUAAAGGCAAAUUCUACAAGGUGGUAGUCCGUCCGGCCUUGUUGUAUGGAGCAGAGUGUUGGCCAGUUAAGAACUCCCACAUCCAAAAAAUGAAGGUGGCAGAAAUGCGGAUGUUGCGCUGGNNNNNNNNNNNNNNNCGAUUGAGAUGGUUCGGACACGUGAAGAGGAGGGGCAUGGAUGCCCCGGUCCGUAGGUGUGAGAGGCUAGCGUUGGAUGGUUUUAGGCGGGGUAGGGGUAGGCCUAAGAAGUACUGGGGCAAGGUGAUUAGGCGGGACAUGGAACAGUUACAGCUCACCGAGGACAUGACCCUAUAUAGGAAGGUCUGGAGGGUGCGAAUUUCGGCAGAGGAUUAGGGCCAGUUUGGGCCGCUAGUGUAGCGAAUUACUUGGUGGGGGUUUUAUUCCUGUUAUGAUUCUGUCUUCCGUGUUUCAUGGUUUAUUAUGAAUCUGUGUGCUUUCCUCUGCUUUCCUCUGUUUUAUAUUACUUAUGGGUGCCGUAUUUAUGUUAUGUAAUCUGCUUCUGUGCUUUACUAUGUAUUUGUGUGGUAUCUCGUGUAUUGAGCCAGGGGUCUAUCGGAAACAGCCUUUCUACUUCAUCAGAGGUAGAGGUAUGGACUGCGUACAUCUUACCCCCCCCUCCAGACCCCACUAGGUGGGAAUACACUGGGUUUGUUGUUGUUGUUGUUGUUGUAUGCGCAGUCAGGAACCUGAGUGUUCGAACCUAUGAUAUGAGACAUGAUAGUGCAAAGAAAGAGCAUCUAUCAAUAUGUGGAAUUUAUCGAUAUUCUAGAUGAGGUAAGGAUGAAUGCAACAGUUCAAAUGCAUGAAUAAUAACUAAUUGAAUGAUAUAGAGUAACUGAACAUGAGAGUACAUGGAUAACUGGUACUGCUAUAAAUACUGAGUAUGCACUAAUAUGCAUAUAAAUAGAGAUUGUGACUAAGCUUGUCUGAAGCUAAGUCUUGAAUUCUGAAACUAAGUAACUGAUAUAUAAAGUUACUGAUAACUAAUUUACUUAUACUAGUUAACUGUAUCUUACAGUCCUAAUUCUGCAGAACUAAACUGAGUUCUAUUCUGAAAUAAUCUAACCAACAUGCCCCAAAUAAGAUAAGAUAACUGAGUUGGGGUCCAACUUAUGGGCCCAGUUGGAAGGGUGUCAGUAUCGUGUCAUGGGUAAAGACACUGAAGAGUUACCUUUAUCUGGCAGGUACUCUAAUGAGAAUGGUGGAACCCUCAUCUCGCAGGCUAAAACACCUCAUCAAUCCUCAACUGGCAGGUCUGAUGUCUCAACCUACACUGGCUAUUAAGCUCUGGAAAGCAAGGAUUACUUUUAGAGAUCAUGCCCUCUACUGGCAGGUGAGCCCCCAUCCUUGGGUUCACUCGGUGUGGAAUCCUACUCCUAGCUGAAAGACACUGAACUGAGUAUACUGAACAGGACUGGACUGAUACUAAGCUUAUAGAGUUUUCUUGAAUUCAGUAACUGACUGAGUUCUACUGAGUUCCUUAACUGAUUGAGAGUACUACUGAUCGUGACAUGAUUGAGAUUCUGUAACUGAUACUAGCUUUAGGGAAACAACUAAAUUAUCGGGUAGUAAAUACCUCUACUACUUAAUAGCAAGAAAAAUAAAGCAUAAUAUACUCUUUGAAAUCAUAACAAUGUAUACUUUUCCAUAGUUCACUCAUAGAGGCAUUUAAUCAAACAUUUGUAAUGCAUCUACUUAUACAUUAAUAGGGAAUAGAUGCUAUCAUGUUAUAAUGACACUAUUUCAUUCACAUAUGUAAUUUAUCAAACACAUGGGGAGCAUGCUUAGGUUAUACAAUAAUGAAACAUAUAGUUAUCAUGGCUACAUCAAUCAACUUGAAAAUUGAAGGGUUUAUCAUGAAAAUCAUGUAAUUCAACACAUACAUUGAUUUAUUUCAUAAAAUCAUGUAAUUUAAUCAUGGACUAAAAUCCAACAAUAACAUGAACAUAAAUUUCAAUUCAAUUCAAGCAUGGAAGUUCAUAAUUCAACAAUCUUGUAUUUUGAAAAUGGAUUUGACUUUAUGGGUGAAAGGAACCCAUAGAUGAAUACCUAACAUACCUUGGGUUAUUAGUUCUUGAAGGUGCUUGAAGAAAUUCUUGAGUUUUGACCUUGAUUCUUGAAGCGAGGGAUUGUAGUUUUUAGAGAAAGCUUUUAUUUCUAGAGAUAAGUGAGAAAAUAAUGGUAUAAUAGGAUAUUUAGGGAUUUAAUCCCAUGUUUAGGCUGACUGGAAUGACAUCAAAAGACCUAAAAUCCCUUGGAAAGUAAAUCUCAAAAUUAACUGAAAUGUUCCAAUUUUCACCCUUGGCGCGACGCGAUGGUAUCGCGUCGUCUCUCUGAAAAUUACCAACUAAAAAAAUACAUGGUGGUGCGAUGCAGUGGUAUCACGUUGCCACCUUGGAUGAGACCUGGAAUCUUGGUAUGAUGUAGUACAAUCGCGUUGCUUUAUUAGAAAUUGACAAAUGUGAACUGGGUCCUUAGCGCGACGCGCCAAUAUCGCGGUCCUUUACUGGAAUUGGACAAUUAGGAAUUGGAAUCCCUCCGUGACAUAGUUAGAUCAUAGAGUCACAAUGGAAAUUGAAAAUUGUUAUUUUGACUGGCUCCGCGAUGCGCUAUGAUCAAAAUGACGGUGUUUAAUGACUGAAACUUAAAAUUGCCAUAACUUCUUACCCGGUUAUCAGAUUUGGGCAAAUUUUAUAUCGUUGGAAAGCUAAUUGAAUUUCCUACGCAAUGGAAGGAUAUAAACUAAAAAUAUUAAUCAUUUCAAAACUUUUAUGCUGGAUAACUCAUGAAAUGAGAGUUAAUCUUAAGCUAAGGAAAUAUAGGGUGUUACAAAUAAAUCCAUGAAUCUCUUGUUAAUGCAAUUACAAGUUAUGUGUUCAAGUAUUUUCAAGUGGGAUGAUUCAUAUAAUAUUUUGAGUAUUACAAUUCCUAUGACAUGUUCAAGUGAAUUUUAUGUUAAACCCCUAAUUUAUGAAUUUAGCCAUGUAAUCAUAUUGUUUCUUCAUGUUUAAAACAUUCCGAUGUUCAAGCUCAUAAUUUUCACAUGUUUGAUGAAAUCUAUAUGCUUUUGGGUUUGAACCAUGAUCCCAUAUCAUUUUUUUAAGAUCUUACUAUAAUAAUUUAUGGUCAUUCAAUGCUAGCGGGUUAUGAACACCCGAUACCUAUGUGUUUUACAUGAUUUCAGAUUUCCAAGGAAUAAUUCUGUGAAACCACGAGUCUUGUUAUUUACUCAGAUUUAUAUAAUUAUGAUGAGUACUAUCAGUUAUUAGAAAUAAUGUUCUGUUAAACUUCGUCUAGUUUAGUACCGGUGUCAGUUCAGUUAGGAGUAGGAUUUAGCAUUGAGAAAAUACAGGGAUGGUGGUUUCCCCAUUAGUUAGGCAGAGUUAUUCGUAGUAGUCCCUGUAUUCUAGAAAUUUAUAGACAACUUAGGAUAUGAGGGUUAACCCAUUAGUUUAGUCUUGACUUCCUCUAGGGGGUCACCCGUUAAUUUAGGAUUGACACCUUUGUCCUUUGGGACACCAGUUUAGUGGAUCCACACAGCCAGUGUUAGUACUCGUGGCAUGGUACUGACAUGCUUUCAAUUGGAUUUACAGGUUGAACCCCAGUUAGCUCAGAUUGGGGCAUGUCGGUUCUAUGAUACCUCUCACAGUCUCAGUCUAGUAAUUAGAAAAUUUAAGUUUAGGUUUGCUUGACCAAGUGUACAGAUUUUCAGUUAUACAGAUUUCAAUCUUUCAAAUUAGAGAAUAUCCCAGUAACAUAUUUAUACUUGGUCUUGCAUUCUUAUAUUUUUACAUGUUCAUGCAUUUAUGCUCAGUUAUCUUACGCAUUUCAGUCAGUCCUUAACUCACGUACUAGUACAUUCAAAGUACUGAUCACAUAACUUUUAUUUGCGCUAUGUUGUCUUAUAACAUAGGCUCAGACGCUCAUUUUACCGACAACUCUUAGACAACUCAGUGUACUCAGCAGUAAUAGUGGUGAGUCCUCAUCCAUUGAGGACAUAAUUUGUUUACUUUAGUUACUUUAGUAUUUUUAUAUUUUCAGUCAUUUGGAGUUAGUUGGGGGUCUGUCCCAUCAACUCCACAAUCAGUUUAGAGGCUUUCAGACACUUAGUUAGACAGUCAAUUAGUCAUUUCAGUAUUAUCAGUUGUUAUCAGAUAUUUUAUACAUAUUUUGAUGUAUUUUAGUAUCCAAUUUUAUAGUAUUUUUAUUAGCUUAUCUUCCGCAUACGUUGUAUUAGUACUAUUAUAUUCAGUGCUCAUAAUAGGUACCAGCUUAUGGGUUAGCUUGUGGUCACUUUUAACCAUAAGCAUUAUUGUCGCGACUAGGGGUAGCCCGGAUCAUGAAACAGAGUCUAUAAGGUAUUUAGGAAUAUUUCCCUUUCUUAUUGUCUAAAUCUCGAGCCAUAGAGUCUAAGGUCUUGGAUUUUCUAAUUUUUAUUUGCUCGUCUUUCAAAUCUUGCCCCCGAGAAUAUCUGAUGUUCAUUUAUACUCCUCUACUGUAUUUUAGGACGGUCUGGAUUGAGCUCAUCCUACCCAUGGGGUACAAACCCAGUUUAGGGUCAGUAUUUCUGAUUGCUCUAAUAAAGUCCUAUUGGCCCCUACUAAUCUUUCUCUAGGUGAUGACACUCCUGCUCAGUCCCUUCAAGGAGACUUUUUAAUGCAAAGUUCUGCCGUUCUAUUUAGCUAUUGACCCAGAUAGUGGUCUCUCCAUUAAACUGGUUUGACUAUAUUGGUAGGAUGAAGAGUCAAGUGAGGAUAAUGGAAAGGCAGAUCGAGAGUUCAAAAUAUUCAGAGCAGGGUAGGGGUUGACGCAUUAAAGGUAGUCGUGAAAAGAAAUAGUCUAAGAAAAAGAGUUGGGGUAGAUCUUAUUUUUGCCCCUAGCUAGAGGCCCCUAUUGUAGGCCAUCUAGUGGAUGUCAAUUUUAGAAUAGUAGUGGUUCCAGGGAACCUGGUGCCUAGUAAUAGUCUAAUGGGGCCAAGUUAGUUCCAUCCUAUCCUCCUUGCUGGUUCUGUGGCUGGUGUCAUCGCGGGUUCCAUCAUAAAGGGAAAAAUCAAUGCUUUAAUUACGGUCAGGUGGGUCAUAUAUAGUGGAGUUUUUCCUCUAGAAUUGCUUCUAGGGAUAAAAAGGUCCUUAUUGCCACUUUGUCGGCUCCAGCACCAAAGAGUGCUACCUCUAGUGCCAGCACUGACUAGAAUUAUCUCGACACUCUUUUCGAUCGCUGAGAGUUUAAGCCUCUCUUGAUGUUUCCCCAGGUAUGUCGAAACCCUCUCUUUGUGAUGUAAUGCCCUGAGAUCCCAUCCCGAGAUGUCACACGGUGCUUGUGACCCCGAAGGACCACAAGCUAACCCUUUACUGAUAUCUAUACCUGUACACUACAUAAUAUCUGGAAUAAAUGCAGAAACUGAACUAAGAUUCAACACAUCUAUAAAUUCUCAGAAUAUAAAACUAAAUACUAUACAAUACAUCCAUCUGAAAAACCUCUAAUCUGAAUGAACUGUGGAGUUGAUAGGAUAGGUCCCCAACUAACUCCAUCAACUGAAAGUAAAUAAAAUUUUGAUUACAACAAUAGAAAACUAAAACUCAUCCUCAAAAGAAGAGUAAUCACUACUACUGCUGCUGACUGGGAUUGAUCUGUUGAUGAUACUCUGGGUCCUAUGUCUCCAAACCUAUGGUGUCAAAUUAGACAUCAUAGUACAAAUGUGUCAGCACAAAAUGUAUCGAGUAUGUAGACGGGGUAACGCUAAAUGCAAGGGCUCAUGCAUGCAAAAUAUGUAUAACCUAAAUGAUCAUGAGAAUCCCGCACGAAAACCAGUACACAUACAAGAAUGUAUAAAUCAUACUCAUAAUCAUCACAACUCUAGAGACUUGACCUUGGAUACCUCCUUACUGCGAGCCAAACUCACUACCAUUACUAAGAUACUAAACCACUGACUCAUCUGCUACUGAUUACUGAGGAUCUGAGUAUACUUAUAUCAAAGACUGAGUUCUGAGCUUACCGAUUUCAACCAAAAUAAUUAGAGAUUCAACUUUUCUAACAGAUAACUUUGGAAUCUAUCAAUGAUAAUAAAAUAGGAUUACAUUCGAAUCCAAUAACAAGAAUACUCACCAAAUUCUAAGAAAGAGACCAAGCCUAUCUGACGGGAGAUCUUUAAAUAUGAUAAUAAGAAUAUUCAACAUGAUCUGAGAUUGAGAUCAAGCUUCUCUGAUGGGAUAUCUUUAAAUAUGAUAGUAAGCAUCUGUAUAUGAGGCCAAGCCUAUCUGAUGGGAUGGUCUAUGAAUCAAUGGAACUAUCUGAGUUCCUUACUGAGAUAGACGACUAUACCAUAUAGUCUUGACUACUGAAGAUUGAUACUGAAACUGCAACUGUGGGAAGUAGUCACAUAACCGACAUGCCCUGACCUACCAUAGGUGGGGUCCAACCUGUAACCCCAACUGGAAGGGUGUCACUACCGUGCCAUGGGUAAAGACUCACUCUCGGGUCAAGCCUCUCUGAUGGGAUGACCCUCGCAGGAAAUCGACUAGAGGCAAUAUAAUAGUCAACCUCUUUGAUGGUGAUAGCCUCUACUGACGGGGACUCUUGUAUCCUGCGCUGGCUAUGCAGUUCUGGAGUUCAGGGAUUGCUACCAAUGACUCUGGCCUCUUUCUCUCUAAUGAGAGAAGUUGCCAUCCCUUUCCUCGCUCGGUGCUAGUUCUACUCCCAAUUGAAAGAGUCUCACUAAAUCCUUAGAAUAAACAUAAUAAAGCUGAAUUUGUUUGCAUGAUCAUGUUUCUCAAAUGAUCUGGCUGAAAUACUCAAAGAUCACUUGGUUUUGUAUCUGACCGAUGUUGCAUAGCUUGAUUAGAUUAUUCGAAUCGCUUCUGAGAUUAGGAUUGAAUGACUUGAAUGCUAUUAGAACUAAGUUGAUUACAGGUCUGAGGCUAGAUUACUAGCGAUACAGAGAUUACUGAGAUAACUGAUAUUACCGAGCUUUAUUAAGCUUCGCACUUGUCUGAGGAUACAGAGUUCUAUAGUUCACUAAAUUCUGAGAAUCAUGGCUCGAUUGGAAUUAUUCAGAAACUGACACGGGCUCUAGACAAUAGCUCUAUUUUUUUGGUAUAAAUACCCCUAAGGACUCGACAACAUAAAAGUAAGACAUAAUCAUUCUUCAUCACAAAUCAUUCAUGCAUCAUCACGGUCAUCCAUUCAUCACUACAAUCAUUUAUUCAUCAUUACAAGCAUUCAUACAUCAUUACAAUCAUUUAUGUAUUAUCACAAUCGUUAAAGAAUCACUUCAAGUAGUUGGGCAUCAUAACAUACUUUCCCUCUCAAUAUCCUUAGGACAUCACAUUAAGCAUUUAGGAAACAUAGACCUCUAUUCAUCAUCACAACUACCAAAAGUUCACUCCAAACCUUUAAGGAUCAUCAACAUCAGUUCACUAUCAUAUACUAGCCUAGGGAAGACAUGCUAUUAGAUUAUACCCCAUUCAAUGAGAUCUUAUAUCAAGUACUUCAUACCUAUAUCGGUCUUGUUAUGUAUUUGGAUAUUGCUUGAUUUGGGGAAACUUUGUACUAACACAUCACUAUUUACUUGCUAACCACUUGACAUGUAUUAAAAUCGUAGCAUAUAUCAAAGAGCACAAAAUUGUGAAAUUUACAACCAUCGUAUCUCGACUUGUUCACUAGGGUCUUUCAACAACCAUUAGACACGAUCGAUUUUACACCUACUUGGGGAUUUCAUGCUAUCUUGGCACAUUUCACUCACUAAGGCAUGCAUGGACAAGCUCACAAUUUGGGGUUUCCUAUUCAACAUACUAUAGUGGGCCUUAUGCUUUACCUAAGCUCUUUAUCUAACCUAUGGAGAACGUUCUUCACUUAUUCAACCAUUUCUACACCCAAAAAUCAUGAACACAUCACAUGGAAAAACAACUUCAAGAGGGUUUAUCACAAACAUCACAUGAAUUCGACAUACUAGGGUCACAGCUCAUAAAUUUUGUAGGAAAACAUAAAUCAAAACUCAACAACACAUUAAACAUCCAUUUCAACUCAUACAAAUCAUUAACAACUCAUAAACAUAAAAAAAUCUUUUAGUUUUAAAAAGGGUUCUUGAACUUCUUGGAUGAAAGGGACCCAAGAAUCAAAAUCUACAUACCUGGGAAUUUCUUCUCUUGAAGGAUCUUGAAAGGAGUUCUUGAUUUCUAUAGAUCGUUCUUAAUCUCUCUUGAAUUUUAUGAAAGGAGAAGAGAGUAUUUUGAUUUUGAAAACCCUAAUUUUUGGGUGGAAGAGAGAAAAAUAAAGUUGAAGACCCUUGACUCGAUAUUUAUAGAUCUGGGGGAGGAUGUGGAAAAGACCAAAAUACCCAUUUAAAAUUUGUCUAGAAAAUUCCGAUCGGGGUCUAUGACGGUUCGUCAGAGGUACUGACGGUCCAUCAAGUCGUCCGUCACUCAAAUGCCAAAAAGGGGAUGUUCUGCCUCAAAAUGAUGGUCGAAGUGAUGAUCCAUCAAAAAUCUGACGGUCCACCAGAUCGUCCGUCACUCGGGGUCCAGGAAUGGGACAUUCUACCUCGGUCUGAUGGGCCCCUUAACGGUCCGUCAACUUUCUGACGGUCCACCACUUUGGCCAUCACAUGAUGACCUAAAAAGGAAGCCACUACCUUGGUUUGAUGGUACACUUGAUGGUCCACCAAGGACUUGGCGGUCCGUCAGAUCGACCGUCAAACCUGCAAUUUCGACAACGCUCAGUAAAACGGCCAUAACUUCUUCAUCCGAUGUCGGAUUUUGAUAAAAUUGGUAUUGUUGGAAAGAUUUUUAAAUUAUCUACAUGUCUAAAAUUAGAAAUUAGGGAAAUUACUCAUGAUUCAAAAUGUUUUAUACUUGGGAAGAUACUUUUAAAACUUUUAGACUCAGAUUUUCCACUUUGCUGGAUACGCUCUAAGUCUCAGACUAGAAGAGAACUUUGUAGGGUAUUACAUUUAAUGUGUAUAAUUUACUUGAUCUGGGGUCCACUCUUUCUUAUGUGACCCCAUUUGUGGUUGUGCAUUUUGGUUUUGAUCUUGAGUGUCUGUCAAUUCCUUUUUUUAUUUCUACCCCGGUAGGAGAAUCUGCUAUUUUCAAAAGAGUAUAUAGGGUGUUUGUGGUAGCCGUUGGUAGUAAUAAAACUCUAGUAGACUUAAUAGAGCUGGUAUGGUUGACUUUGAUGUUAUUCUGAGAAUGAAUCGGUUGAAUUUGUCCUAUACUUCUUUAGACUGUUAGACCUAUAAAUCCAUAUUUAAAUUCCCUAAUGAGAAAAUUAUUAAGUGGGAGGGUGUUUCCCUAUCUCCUAAAGGGAGGUUUAUAUCAUAUCUUAGAGCUCAGAGAUAAUCUCCAAGGUGUGUCUCUACCAAAUGGUUUGGGUUAAGGAUUCUAAUUCGAAGGGUCCAAAAUUGUAUUUUGUCUUGGUGAUGAACGAAUUUCUUGUGGUCUUCCCUGAUGACCUCCCUGGUGUUCCUCCUGAUAGGAAUAUUAGCUUUGGAAUUGACCUUGUUUUAAACACUUAUCCUAUUUCUAUUCCCCCGUAGAGAAUGGCUCCGAUUAAGUUGAAGGAUCUUAAGGAAAAACUAAAGGACCUUUUAUACAAAUGUUUCAUCCAUCCUAGUAUGUCCCCACGACGUAAACUAGUGUUAUUUAUUUGUAAGAAAGAUGGGUUUCUUCGGAUGAGUAUAGGUUGUCAGCAAUAGGGUAAAAGAUUUAGAGUGAUCUCUCUAUUGGGGACACUAGUGUUUUGUAUGUGAUACAUUGUGGGUGAUAGUUAUAGUUGAUAGGCAUUAAGUUCAAACCUUGGAUGUUGAUUUUACUGAAAGAAGUAUGUUAGUUCGAGGAUUGAUUUGCAAAAUAUGUGGGAGUACAUUAGUAGGGUCUGUGGAGUGUGCAAAAGAGAUGAGGUUGAUCACUUAGGGGAAUACAUAAGUGGGAAAAUUGUGAAAUAUAUAGGCCAGAGGUCCAAGUUUAACUGAUGGAGAUCGAGGGUUAAUUUUAAAUUUUUUUCUAGCAGGGGACUUUAAGAGAAAGUCAAGGUGAGUUAACUCCCACUCUAGUAAUUUUCUACUAUUUUGGGUAAGAAGGUACUCUUCUAGGGUGUCACACAUUCUAAUAAUUCUCAUGGUUGAGGUUUACAUUCUGCACGCUACGUAUGUCCAUACUCUAGCCCUGAACCAAAGGCGAUAAUGAUUCUCAAAAAUUCAAGAUUCUAAGCAUUCAAGAUCUAUUUCAUUUCACUCAUGACCCAUAUAUUCAUGUAUCACACCAUGCCUGGUUCUAUGAAGUAGUAGUUUUGAGUGACAGUCCUCGCCUUGUUCCCUUAAAAUGAGUCUCAACUUUACAUUAUAUUUCCCAUGAUAUAACCAGUCGUGAUUUCUCCCAGUGCCCAGUCCUAAGGAAUUUUCCUAUGGUUUGUUUAUUUUGGAACGACCCUUCAUUCAUGACCUAGGUGGUUACUAUAAAGUACCUCAUCCUUAUUUUAUCGUGUCUCAUUUUUUGAGUCUCACCUUGAGUAGCAUGAAUAGUUUUCGUGCUUUAGUUUUUUGAUGACCCUUCUUAUGUUAGGAUGUAAAUGACCAUGGAAGCGUAAUGAUGCUUUGGACAAGAGAGUAUAUGUCCUUUGUUGCAAAAUUAUUGAGUGACUACUAAGGCUAAGGCUACAAGAGUAAAUGGAAGAAUAAGAUUAACUCUGUCCUAGUAAAUAGUUAAGGAGGGGAAGGGAGGUAAAAAUCUUUGAGGUAGUAUUUAAAUUUUUUAGCUUUUAGGUGAGAGAUCUAUAAACCGAUGGUAGAGAGGUAUGCUCGAAUAUUGUGAUUGAUAGAUAUACCAAUUGUGGUGUUGAUUUUUUAAGAAUCUUGAUGGAGGAAAUAUAUAGAUAGACUUAGGCUCUUGUACUGACGUGUCUAUGGUAAAUUGUAAGAUUGAGCUGGUAAGGUGUGGUAUUUGUAGUUGAUUUUAUAGGUUGUAGACUGAAGAUGAAAGGUGAUUCCGGAUAGGCUUAAGAACACCUAAAAUUGCUAAAAGUCCUAUGCAGAUAUGAGAAGAAAGGACUUGGAGUUUAAGGUUAAAGGUUAGGUGUUCUUGAAAAUAUCUCAAAUGAAGGGAGUGGUGUUGUUUGAAAGAAGGGUAAACUUAGUCCCUGGUGUGUUGGCCCUUAUAUGGUUUUGAGAAGGAUUGGUAGUGUUGUAUAUGAGUUGGAUUUUCCUUCAAGCAUGAGUUUCACUCAUCCUGUAUUCCAUGUAUCUAUGUUGCAGAAAUGUGAGGUGAUCCUUCGUUGGUUGUUACCUUAGAGGAUAUUGGCAUUUUGGAUUAUUCAUCCUAUGAGGAGGUCCCGAUGAGGAUCUUGUAUCGAAAGUUUGCCAGUUACAAAUGAAAGACAUGGCUUCGGUGAAGGUUCUACAAUGGAACCAAAAGUUUGAGAAAGCAACUUGGGAAGCCGAGGAGGACAUGAAGUGCAAGUAUCCAUUCCUAUUUUCGAUUUCAGAAAAUCAUGCUUGAGGUAUGUGUUCUUGACAUCCUUGUUUUAUGUCCUUGUUAAGGUAUAUUGUGGAUUCCUUGAUGUUUUGUUUUUUGUCUUAAAGGUAAGACUAGAAAUAUUUGGAGUUUAAUCGGGCUUGUAGUGCCUGAUUCCAUCAUUCGAGAAUGAAUGAUCUGGGGGGAGGGGAGAAUGAAACAUCUCAAACUUUGGCCUUAGCAAAAUUUUCUGAGUUGAGCAUUUUGAUCAUCAUACCACUCAUGCUUACUUAUCGUAUAAUGUGGGUAUAAUUUAGGGGUCUUGAUCAUAUGUUACUUAGUGUAGCUUUGGUUGUUUUCUAUCCAAGGUAUGAGUGGACAGCAUAAGGGUCGUAUGUUGAUGGUAUGAGACAGGAGAUCCAAUCAUAUGUUAAUCAAUAUGUAUUCUUGAUCACGUUUUGCCUAGGGUACAACUAUAGGGUACCACUCAUAUGGUUGGGUACGAGUGAGGCCAAUGAGCCAUAUUUUGGACAGAAUAUGAUGUCCAACAUUCUGAACAAGGUACGAGUUAUGGGUACUACUCAUAUGAUUGGGUAUGGGUGAGGGGGCAAACAGUACCCUCUUGUGCACAUUUUUCAGAUUUUAAGCUGAGGGUAUUCCAACUAUUUCCCACCCUAAAGCCCUUAACACCCCACAUCUUAUAACACUUUGUUUCUUUUCAUAACAUACUUUGAAGGAUCAAAACACUCUCCAAAUCCUCUCUAAACUCUCUCUCAAAGAUUAAGCUUUGGUUUCUACAAGGUGUUCAUCCAGAGGCUCAACAGUCAAAUUCUUUCCGCGUAUAUUCAUUAAUAAGGAAUGUGUAUCUUCCCUCAUAUUUAAUUAAUGAAAAUCAUGCAUUUUAAAGUUUGUUUAUGAUUCAUUAAUGGUGGUAUUGAAAAUCAAUGUUGAGGGUUUUGUUGCAUAUGGUUGAUAAUUGUUUACUCUUGGUUUAAAUUGUGUUUAUACAUGUCUUUGGUGAUGGUUUUCACAUAUGGUUGCUUGAUAAUUAUGGUCUAACAACUGGUUCAUGGGUAACCCAAGAUUUGAUGGUUUUUACCUGGUUUUGGUCUUAUUAAUAGUAUGCCCUCAACAUGUUAGUGAAAAUACCCAACAGAAAAAUCUUGUCACAAGAUGAAUUAUGUCUUGAACUAAUGCUUGUUAAAAGAAUGCUAAUGAAGGAUGAAUCAUUUUGUAAAGGUCUUGAUGACCAUAAAUUAAAUUAAAAUGCGAUUUGAACUAAAACACCUUGGCUUUGAACCCUUAGAAAAAUUCCUUAAAGUUGAGUUUCUAGACAAGGUAUGGUAUGAGCAAACCAUUCGUAUGCUAUGGUACGAUUUUGGCCCCUCUCUUAUAUGUUAGGCAUCGUAGUAUGGGUUACAUUCUAUCCAAGGUAUGGUUUAGGUUCACCCAAGCUGUAUGAUAGGGGGCUAGUCGUAAGUUGCCAAGUCAUAUAAUGUCUAGAGCUUGACCUAGUGUAUUCUACCUAGGGUAUGAAUUUUAGGGUACUUAUCAUACCUUAGGGUACGAUUUAUGCAUGUAUAGUUGUAUGUUGGAUAGUUUAGAGAUCCAUGGAGAGGCCUAGGGUACAAAAUAGUGUACCACUCAUACCCUAGGGUACAGUUGUAUAAGGUGAGUCGUAUUCUCCUGGGUUCAAUUUUUAGCUUUUAAGCUGAGGAUAUUUUAGACAUUUCUCACCCCUAAACCCUUAUGACCCAUGACUUAUAACAUUGUUUGACCCAUCAUUCUUCACUUAGAUAAGAUAAAAAAUAUUCCAAAACACUAUCCAAGACUUCUCUAACAAGAUUGGGGGGUAGGGUUCAUCAAGAAGACCAUACAGGGGCUUGAAGACAGAGAACCUCUCUGUGAAUCUUUGUGUGUAAGGCAUGUGACACUUCCCUUAUUGUUAUUUCUCAAAUAUCAUGUGUUUUAAACAUUGAUUUUGAUUCUUGAAUGGUGGGUUUUGAAGCAAAUGUUGAGGGUUUGAUGCAUAGUGAUGAUUAUUGUUUACUCUUGUUUAUACUUAUUUUAGGUGAUAGUUUCCACAUAUGGGUACUUGUUGAUUAUGGUUUAACAGAUAGGACAUGUUUAACCCUUAGAUUGAUGAUUUCUAUCUUGAUUUUAGUCUUGGUAAGUGUAUGUCCUCAAGAUGUUUGUGAAAAUGUCUAAUAGAAAUAACUAGUCACAUGUUAAUGGUGUUUUGAAUUAGGAAAAUGACCUAAUAAGUAAGAAUUGUUGGUAAAUGGUAUUGUAAUGGCCUUGUUGGCUAAGUAAUGAGUUUAUUGGUGAUGUUGGUGUCUUGCUUGGUUAAAUGGGUUAGAGUCCCUAAGCAUGAAAUUAAUUUGUGUUUGAACUAAAGCUUGGUGUAAGAAUGCUAAUGAAGAAUGAAUGGUUUGGUAAAGGUCUUAAUGACCUCCAUUUGACUUGAAUAGUGAUUGAAACUAAGGCAUUGGCCGAUUAAAGUGAUUGAUUAAUAAAUGGUUCACAAAGACCUUGUGGUCAUUGUGGUGUUGAAUUGUAGUAUUGAUGACUUGAAUUGGUUAACUGGGUUAGAGUCCUUAAAUAUUAAAUUAAGUGGAUAUAAAUGCAUGGCCAAAGGGUUAUACUCCCACUGUCGACUAGUAAUGGACACGAUAGCUUAUGGUUAGACUCCACUUGCUUAAAAUAAUGGCUUGUGGUUAGAGUCCACUUGUCUAAUAAAACGGCUUUUGGUUAGAGUCCACUUGCUUGAUAAAAUGGCUUUUGGUUAGAGUCCAUUGGCUUGAUGAAAUGGCUUGUGGUUAGAGUCCACGUUCUUAAUAAAAUGACUUGAGGUUAGAGUCCUCUUGCUCAAUAUAAUCGGAAAGUUCAAACUUCCCAACCUACACAAAUGGGAGGUUAGAUUCCCCCACCUCAUGUAUCUUGAUUGGGUGCUUCGAAAUGCAUGCUAAGCCUUGUUUCCCCUUUCUGGAACUUUGUACAUCUAUAUAUAUCUACAUACAUUCCUAUGUAUAUAAAAGUCGUUUCUUAUGAUGGUUUAACUUGGUUUUGAAUAACAUUACUAUUUUAUCCUUAUUCUUGAGUUACAUGCUAGCACUCUAACCGCUAACCAUCUCCAGACGUUGUAUGCCCACGUGACAUAGAGGCAGAGCUUUUUUUUCUCUUCCUGUGUAGUGACUAGGUGUUCGGGCGGAUCGUAUGCUGACUUUAAAGUGGUGAGGUUCCAUACUUCGGAAGGUAUACAUUUUAUGGUCUUUUUAUCUUAUUUCAUAGACUUAUUUUAGACUUGGUUUUUUGUCUAUUGUCGAGGGCAUGUCCCGAUAUAUUUUAAACAUCAGAUUGGUAGAGUCUUGUGGAUGACUAUGCACUUGGGUAUGUUGGUUUAGCAUGUUGAUAUUAAUGGAUUGAUUAGACAUAUCUUAAGUUAUGAUUAUUUUUCUUGUUUUUGCUAUCUCAUUAUUUGUUCAAAGUUAAUCCAAUACUUAUGGAUUGAUGUGAUGGUUAGGUUUGGCUAUAGGGCGAUCUCUGAUUUUUGUUGGGAUCAAGAUGCCCAUAUGACAAGGACUGAUUUUGGGUCGUGUCAAGUUGGUAUUAGAGCCUAGGUUCAUGGUCAAUUGGUGUCCACAAAGUCGUGUCAAGUAAAGUCUUUUUUAUGGGUGUGUAGCAUGCCAUAUUUAGAAAUAUUUCACGUUCCUAAUGUCUUAUUUCAAGCUAUAGAGUUUAAGGUAUUGGAUCCUUCUGAUUUUCGUUUGCUUGUCUUUCAUACCAUGCCUCUAACAAGAUCUGAAGUUCCCACAAACCUUGCCAUCCUGACUGCGGGAAAAGUUGAUGGGACACACUCUACUUUUGGAGUCCAGAUCGGGUCUAGGGGUCAGCUUCCUGAUGGUCCUGGAGUUCCAUCGGUUCCCUCUAGUCCUGCCCCAGUUCCUAAGGCUGACGUGAUGAAUGCCGAUAUUUGUCAGUCGAUUCAUAUGAUUGCUUAGUUGGUGGUUUCUCAGGCUGAGCAUAUGCAUCUGUUACUCCAUCUUCUUAGGCCUCAAGGGUUGGCCAGUUCAUGAAGUUGAGCACUCUGACCUUUACCGGGGUUAAGAUGGAAGAGGAUCCUCAAAGUUUUCUAGAUGUGAUGGAAAAGAUUUUCAAAGUUAUGCAUGCCACUAGUAUGGAAGGUGUGGAGUUUGCAGCCUAUCAGCUGAAGGAUGUAGGUAUCAAUGGUACGAGGAAUGGGAUCAUUUGAGGGGUGAUGUUGAUAAGUCACCUAUGUGGUAAGAUUUGAAUAAUGCAUUUCUAGACCGCUUCUUUCCUCAAGAGUUGAGAGAAUCAAAGGAAGAGGAGUUUGUUAAUUUGAGGCAAGGAAAGAUGUCAGUCAAGGAGUAUGACUUGAAUUUUCAUCAAUUAUCUCGGUAUACUCCAGAGAUAGUUUCAAACAUAAGUUCUAGAAUGUGUAAGUUUGCUUCAUGACUAACUCGCGAGUUGAUCCUUGGGAGCGAGGAUGCUUUGUUGAUCAAUGAUAUAGAUAUGUCCAGGUUGGUGGUAUAUACAAAACACAAGAAGGAAGAGGAAAAUAAAUAAGUUAAGUUUAGUAAAAGGAAAAGGAAAAAAUUUAGGCCUUCCGAGCAAAGUGGUAGAGAUGGUGGUAAGUGGCCAAGAAAGAAGUGGGGCAGUUUUGGUUAUGUGUUAAGUGGCCAAGAAAGAAGUGGGGGAGUUUCGGUUCUUUCUCCUAGGAUAGUGAUCCUUACCUGAAGCCAUCGGGUGAUCGUCGGUCUCAGUUUAAUGAUGGGUUCUGGGUAUAAGGUGCCCAAUCUUAAGAUAGUAAGGCUCAGUUGGCUACAUCUUACCCUCCCUGUAGAUUUUGUGGUCAGCAUCAUAGUGGCUAGUGUGAGAAGGGGAGAGACAAAUAUUUUAGAUGUGGUUAGAUUGGACAAAUACAACGAGAGUGCCCCUAUCUAGUGGCUUCUUGGGUAACAGGGCCCCUAUUGCUACUUCAUCUGCUCCUGCACCGAAGGGUGCUACUUCUGCUUCUUCUUCUAUUUUUGGUAUCGGCACUGGCCGAAAUCGGUUAUAUGCACUUUUUACUCGACAGGAGUCUGAGGCAUCUCCAGAUAUUGUUACGGGUAUGUUGAAACUUUUCUCCCGUGACAUCUAUUGUUUACUUGAUACAGGGUCUUCCCUCUCUUAUAUGACCUAUAACGCCCCGAGACUACCCCUGGACAUCACAUGAUUCAUAGAAACACAAGUGAUCCUAACUAACCCUUGAUACUUGAAUAACUUGUGAGUAACUGAAUAUAUUACACAAAUCUGAAAAAAAUAAGCGAAAAAGAUGGCAUUGCUGAAUAUAUUCAAUACAAAAUUGUUUAAAACAUUUACACUUUGAUUAUACAAAACAAAACUGGAAGUAAAUACAUCAACUUUAAAUGACCGUUUAUGAAGCCUCUACUAAUAUUGACUAUAGGUAAUCGAAACAUGACCCCCAUCUAUCUCUAAUCAAUAUGACUGAAUAAACAUGCUACUAGAACUAUAGUUGACUCGAGUCAUCAAAUUAAAAGAACUUAUCACCUGCUGACUGGAAGCUGCAAACUAUCAGAUUAUGAUGUGUGGGCUACAACUGGCACCUACAUUACGAGACAAUGUAGCCCAUAGAAAUAUAUAUAGGUCAAUACUCUUGGAAUGACCUUGAGCUUGAAUAAAAUAAAGACUACAAAAUCAUAAAUAUGAGUAAUGUACCAUAAGGAUAAACAUUGUGAGUUAUAACACAUAGUUCUGAUAACUUUACUUUUAGUUUUUCUUAUGAGAGUUUCUUCUAACUAACAUAAACCAUGUGAGCUACCAUGGAGUUCAACGUCUUACCCAUGUUGGGAAGAGUUGUCCUAUCCUUGUCAUCUGAAUAGAACCUUAAUCUUAGUGAUUACUUUACUUCAUCCAUAUCGGGAAAAAACUUAACCUACAGUUGCUCGUAGUUUCAAGAAAUUAAGGUUACGAGCAUCUGUAUCUACAUUACCUUCUUGGUGCUAAAUACUACUCCCAAAAUACUUAUAUGCUCAUACUUUAGGAAUCCACCUUAAAUUAGCAUAAGUAUUUUAUAGAAUGAAAAACAGUUAUGCUUCUCUUUACUUUAAAUCAUAAUCAAGAUGAACAAAUGUGGAUUCCAUAUCUUAUCUUAAUAUCAAAGAUCAAUCUUUGAUUUAAAUCAUAGUACAAACUUAUCGAUGGAGCUUAAGAGCAUAAUCUUUUAGUAAACUCAAUACUUGUACUUAAGACUUAUAACACAUGCGUAAAUUCUUAUAAAUUCAUGAUAAAACUUCAUACUUAAUAAUCAUCUUAAAAUACUUCACCAAUUCCAGUCAGAAUAAGGAAAUUCAAAUCAUAAUAUGAAUCUUAUAAAUCAAAACAUGGAUGUAAGUAAACCUUGAUGCACUAAAAACUUUUAAUCUCAUGGAAAUUUUAUAAUUCAAGAAUAUGGCUAUUUGGGUAUGAGCCCUAAUUCAAAAUAAAGAAAUUCAAUAUUGAAACGAUGUAUUUUAGGCAUUAGGAUGAGAAAAUAACCUUGUUCAUAAAUCCCACAUACCUAAAGUUUCUUGAUUUGUGAAGAUAGUUUGUAUCUUGGGACUUGAAGGAUGAAUUUUGGGUAAGGAACCCUAAUCUUGAUGUUCUUGAAUUCUUGAUGAUGGGAGGGUCAAAGAACGUGUUAAGUGAUUAAGGAUGGUAGAAAAAUAAUGUCUUUUUAUGUUUUCAAGUCAUUGGUUGGUAGUUUAAAGAGGGGAAAAGACCAAAAAACCCCUUAGGAACCUUCUGAAAAUCGUUUGGAAGCCGUCUCGACAUCUUAGGCCACCACUUGUAUGUUUUGGGUACAGUUCAUAUCCCAAGUCAUCACCAGGAACCCAGAUUUUGGCCUCUACUAUCAUAGGUACGACUUCUUCUAACGACUCAUAUGGUCUGCUUACGAGUCAUCAUCAGUGAGUCGUAACCACUGGAAGCUUUGAUAGUGCUUCAGCAAUUUGGUCGUAACUUUUCACCUCGUUAUUGGAUUAAGUAUAAAUUAAUAUAGUUGGAAAUAUAAUUAAAUUAUCUAUAUUUUGGUAGGUCUUGAGCUCAUAAUGUUUUCGUAUAACAAAAGUUAUGCUCGUUGUAAGAUGACUGUAGUCGUAUGCAUCCUAAGAAUUUAAUCGCUAAGGAAUGCUUUGACUUGUUCUUGAGAUAGGAACUAUUUGAGGACUUAAUAUAUGUCCAAUUAACUUAUAAAUCUUUCAAAACAUGAGGCUUUAUUCUUGGGUCCUUUGUUGGUCAGGAUACGAGUCAUAUCUUACGACUCGUAACAAGCCAUUACGACUUGUUGCCACCACUCGUAAGUUGAAUAGAAACUUAGGGAACCUAGGUUGUUACCCUUACGACUCAACUUCAUACACCUCAUACCAUGCCUUGAUGACUUCUACGGUCAAAUCAUAUCCACAACAAACUUCAACUACUCUACACUGCCAUAGGUAUGACUCCAACGUACGACUCAUAUGUUAUUUAUAUGACUUAAGGAGAUAAGUCAUAUAUUGUACAAUAUCUUUUACACAUGGGGAAUUUUAAUAUCUCCACCUUGGGAUGAUUCAUCCUCAAAUGAUACUGACUUGGCUAAAAUACUAAGGAAAAGCUGAGAUAAUGCACUGAACACUUACAAGUUGAAUCAUAACUUAAUAUUUGAAUUUGAAACUGAUGCAUGGACCGAGCUGAAUUCGUAAUUUGGAUAGAUGAGAAUAUUUAACUCAUGGAAUAGCAAUUCUCAUGAAACUUUGAAUAGUAAUACUAGAUGGAUAGAUGGAAAACCAAUGAGAUUAUCUAUUUGAUUGCUAAACUGAAUUGUUGGAUACACAGACUGAAUCAUACUGAAAGUUUAUGCUCAACCUGAGUAUUUCUUCAACACUUUUUGCAAGAUGUUAUAAUAACAUUAGGGAGCAAAGAAUUUUGGGCAUAGUCUGAAUAAGAUAUCUUAAUAAAGAAUCGUAACAUAGCUACAACUCUAUAACAUGUAAUAUAGGCCUAUGAAACAUAAGUUAGGAUAGAAUCACUAAACCUUAGGUAAUGCAACUGCUAACUUCAAGCUUAACCACACGUCUAAAAGAUUCCCUCAACUAUACUAUUCCUCUUAAAUAAUAUACUCAUUUUAUGCAACUUAUAAUUCUCACAUGGGUACAUAUAACUACUCUAGCCAAAGUCUGAGUUGAACUACACACUCUCGCCAUGUUCAAGCCUAACUCAAAAUUACAAAUUACAACACAUAACAUCAUAAUACUAGUCUAAACUAUGAAUUUAGUACCCCACGUGUGUUUCACAGUUCACAUUUCCCGAAUAAUUUUUCUUGCCACUUUGACAACUAAAUUCAACCUCUUACUAGGAAUUCACUAGCGCAUAAUGCACCUAUCCACUUAUAUGGCAACAUGACAUUCAAGCAUUUUAUUAUAAUCACAUAUGAACUCCUAAGCAAACAAUCCACCUAGGAAAUUUUUCCCACCUUCUCUAAUAUCUCUUGUCAAUAACCAUUCCUAUGCACUAUCUAUAAUAAAACACACCUAGAAUUCUCAAAUAACCAAGACAUAUAUCAAAAUUUUCACCUAAAUCUUCCUUCAUAUUUAUAGAGUUAGGUUAAAACAACCAUAGUACAAUCUUUCCCCAAUAAGAAACAUUUACUCUCUCCCAUCUAAACGAUUGUUCAUUACCACUAUCAUCCCCUCCUUAGAUUAAAGCCAACCUUCUAAGCUUAUGGGUCUAUUCCAUAUCCUUAGGACUGAGCAAUAAUUUCUUCACUCUAGUGUUCUACAGAGAAAUGCUCAACUCACGCGAAUAAACUAUAUUUCAAACAUACUAACUUCAUUCUAGAAUACUCCCUUAACAUAUAUCAUCCUUAACUUUCUCUAACUUUAGCAAUUAUCAUCAUGUACUUACACCCUUGUCAACAACAUACUUGCCUCUCUAAACACAUAAUCUACCUCAUUUCCAUCAUAGCCUACUAACAACACAUCCUUAAAAUUUUAUUUUUCCCAAAACCAUGAGAAUUACCAUUAAACCAUAAUUCCCAACAUCACAACCUAUAACCCAUAACUUAGCUGGUAAGAACACCAUAUACUACAUAACUAGCCUUCUUACCAUUUAGCAACUCAAGGGUACCACUAACAACACAUAACCCUUAAUAAUCUUAGAAAAUAACGUAACCCCAUAUCACCUUGGGUACACCUCUAAAUCAUACCUACCACAUCUUACUUAAUUAAGAAUAAAUGAACUUAAACUCCUACAUUCACUAUUCUAGCCUACUAGAUUAUUUUCUUAUAACUAGCAUCACUAACCAAGCAAUCAUUAUUUCCACCUUGAUGAUCAUCCACGGUUCAAACUUAGUAUCUAGUGCUUGACAUGAUUUACAACACACCCUCACAUACUAUUCUUGCUUGAAAGCUAUAAAAUAAAACACAAAGAAACACUAGUCCCCUAGAACCUCAUACUAAUAAUAAUCGAUCAUAACUAUAUGGUAUACCUUAUUAUAAUCCAUUAGCACAUUCUCCUCCUACACAUUACUACCAUUUACCCAUCUAUGCACCUAAAUUACUUCCAUAGCUCUAUAGGUUUCAACUAAACUCCCCUUUUUUUCACAACCACAAGGGAAAACUAAACUAAAAAUACUCAGCCACCAACUACUUUCAUUAAUAACUUAUACUUUUCUAACACUAUGUAAUACAAUCAAGAACCCCUUUCCUACUUCAAGCAUAAUCUAAGUCACCUUAACAAAUAACUACUUCUCUACCUUCUACCACGAAAUAUACACCACACUCACUACCUAUUUAGGUAACACCCAGUGAUGCAUCACCUCAAUCCUUACUUAAUAGCAUGCAUAGAUCUCUCACUAUACUAUUAACCAGUCUUUAUCUCUAACUUUCUUGUCACUACACUUCUAAAUUCAUACUUCUAACUCUGAGGUAUUCUAUUACUUAUGAAUUAUAACACACUAAAUUACAAUAUCUCUUAAGGAAAACUAUAAUCAAUAAUUUGGGUACAUAACCUUUCCUCUCAUGAUUGUUAUCUGUAACAAAGGGCUAGAGGAAAAAUUUAAUUAUGUAGCAUAUCCUGUCUUGACCGCACAACUCAUAUAGAAGAGGACAUAAGCUUUCGAUUUAAAGGACUUUAAACACACUAGCGGGAUCCUCCAAAGCCCUUUGUGUAACUUCCGAAGUUACUAAUAGUAAAUCUGAGAGCAUCAUCUUGGUAGGAAUUCGAACCUACAAAUCAUGUUAUCUCGAGAAUAAGUCAUAGAGGGAGAAUUAUGGAGUAACACACAAAUUAACAGAAGUUUCUGAGAGAACAACUUUACAACAUGAUCUAGAUCAUGAAGGAGGGAAAUAUUUCUUAAAUUCCCUAUUGAAUCUCAAAUAAAAGUAUAAAUGUCUUCGUACCAUCCGCAAUACUCUACUAGACACGGCUUCAUAGACAUCCUAUGACACUUGAAUUCUGUGCUCUGAUGCCAAGUUUGUAACGUCCCAAGACUACUCCUAAAUAUCACACGGUGCUUGGAACCACAAGUGAUCUUAAGCUAACCCAUGAUACUUACAUAACUCAUGAGUAACUAAAUAUGUUACAUAAAUCUAAAAGAAAUAAGUGGAAGAGAUAAUUUUUCUGAAUAUAUUCAAUACAAAACUAUUUAAAACGUUUAUACUUUAAUUAUACAAAAUAAAACUAGAAGUAAAUACAUCAACUUUAAAUGAUCGUCUAUGAAGCCUCUACUAAUAUUAACUAUAGGUAGCCGGAACAGGACCCCCAGUUAUCUCUAAUCAAUAUGAUUGAAUAAACAUGCUACUAGAAUUUUGUAAUAGUAUUUUACGUGUGAAUCUUUUUAUCUAGUUGUGGGUGUAGAUUUCCUUGUUGAUUGGUUACUUUGUAAUAGUAUUUUACGUGUGAAUCUUUUUAUUGUUCUUAGUAGUUUUGGAGUGUGUUACCUUGUCUAAUUACUGUUACUUGAUUUACUAGCAUAUCCAUAAAUUGUGGUAGUAUUAGUUCCAUCUAUUCACUAUUGUUUAUCAAAAUUUGUGUUAUAUUAUUGGUUUUGUUGCUCUCUAUCUAUUAUAGAUUGUUGGUUGUGUCCCUAGCUCCUUUAUUGACUUCAUUGUAACUAGUGUGGCCUUUUUACCUUAUCUUAAUCCCCCUUUGUUAUCUUUCUUCCCUUUUUCCUUUCAUCCCUUUCCCUUUUGUCGCAUAGUGGCGGUGAUUAGCAAUGGUAGACAAGGUUUAUGUCAUAAGUCAAGGUUGGGGUCAAGGUCAGGAGGUUUUAGGUCUGGUUCGACGUUUGAGGGGUUGGGUCUAUGUCGGGGUUUGGGGGGGUUGGGUCUGGGUCGGGUCUAAGAUCGUGCUUGGGGUUAGGGGCUAGGGGUAGUAAGGUUAGGCCGGAUAAAAGAGCUUCUAGGUUGUAAGUUGGGUCUUGGAACAUCGGUACUUUGCAGGGUAAGUCUAUAGAGCUGGUGAAGAUUCUUAGAAAGCGGAGGGUUAGUGUAGCGUGUGUCCAGGAAACUAAAUGGGUAGGCGCUAAAGCGAGAGAUAUGGAUGGGUAUAAGUUGUGGUACUCGGGUAACAUGAGACAUAGAAAUGGGGUAGGUAUCUUAGUAGAUGAAGAUUUUAAGGAGCAGGUGGUAGAGGUAAAGAGAGUUAGUGAUAGACUGAUGUCUAUUAAGUUGUCAUGGGAGAGUCUACAAUGAAUGUUAUUAGUGCCUACGCCCCGCAAGUAGGUUUGGACGAGGAGGAGAAGAAGGAAUUCUGGGAGGUUUUAGAUGAGGUGGUGAGGAGCAUCCCGAGCACUGAGAAGCUUUUCGUGGGAGGGGAUUUCAAUGGGCAUAUUGGGUCUCUAUCGAGAGGGUACGAUAAUGUGCAUGGCAGUUUUAGUUUUGGUGAGCAAAAUGAAGGAGGAACUUCUCUGUGGGAUUUUUCUAGGGCUUCUGGGUUGUGGAUAGAGAAUUUGAGCUUUCCGAAGGAGGAGGAUCACCUUAUUACAUUUCGUAGUUCAGUGGCCAGGACUCCUAUAGACUUUUUGCUUCUUAGAAAAGGGGAUAAAGCGCUAUGUAAAGACUGUAAAGUCAUACCUAGCGAGAAUAUCUCAACUCAACAUAGGUUGUUGGUGAUGGACUUGGUUAUGAAUAAGGGCAAAAAGAAGAGAAGUGGGGAGGCAAGGCCUAGGAUUAAGUGAGGUAGCUUGACUUUGGCUAGUGCUUUGGAGAUGAAAGAGAAGUUGAAGAGUAGGGAGCGUGGGAGGGUAGAGGAGGUGUGGAUAAUAUGUGGAAGACGGCUGCCAGUUGCAUUAGGGAGACCGCUAGAGAGGUGUUGGGUGUCUCGAGAGGUCGAUCUGACAAACAUCAAGGAGACUGGUGGUGGAACAAAGAGGUCAAGAGAAAGGCGGAGUCUAAGAAGGUGGCUUAUACUAAGUUGGUUGGGAGUAAGGAUGAUGAGGAAAGGCAAAAGAAUAAGGAGGAGUUUAAGGUAGCUAGAAGAGAGGCUAAGUUAGCGGUUACGACGGCUAAGACAGCAGCUUUUGAGAGUUUGUAUGCGGCUUUAGAGGAAAAAGGCGGAGAUAAGAAGUUGUAUAGGAUGGCCAAGGACAGAGAGCGGAGGGCUCGUGACCUUGACCAAGUGAAGUGCAUCAAAGGAGAGGAUGGUAUAGUGUUGGUUUAGGAUGCCCUCAUUAGGGAGAGGUGGCAGUCCUAUUUUCAUAAACUUUUGAACGACAAGGGGGACAAAAAUUCGGUGUUGGGAGACUUGGAGAUAUCUUAGGAGGGUCGCGAUUAUAGUUAUUGUAGGCGUAUCAAGAUUAAGGAGGUCAAGGGGGCUAUUCGCAGGAUGCGGUGGGGUAGAGCGACGGGGCCAGACGAGAUUCCAGUAGAUUUUUGGAAGAGCACUAGCGGGGCAGGUCUGGAGUGGUUGACAAGGCUGUUUAACAUUAUUUUUAGAGCUGCUAAGAUGUCUGAAGCGUGGAGGUGGAGCACAAUGAUUUCAGUGUAUAAGAACAAGGGAGACAUUUAGAGAUAUAACAACUAUAGAGGUAUUAAGUUGUUGAGUCAUACUAUGAAGGUUUGGAAAAGUGUGGUAGAGUUGAGGAUGGGAGAAUCGUGACGAUCUCUGAGAAUCAAUUCGGUUUCAUGCCUGGUCGCUCGACCACUGAGGCCAUUCACCUUGUGAGGAGAUUAGUGGAGCAGUUUCGAGAGAGGGGGAAGGACUUGCGCAUGAUGUUUAUUAAUCUAGAGAAGGCAUAUAAUAGAGUUCCCAGGGAGAUUCUGUGGAGGUUCUUGGAGGCUAGAGGGGUGCCCGUGAUGGUUCGAAGACUCGUGUGAGGACGGUAGGUGGAGAUUCAGAGCACUUCACAGUUUUGAUAGGGUUGCACUAGGGAUCGACUCUUAGCCCGUUUCUAUUUGCUUUGGUGAUGGAUGUUUUGACGCGACAGAUUCAAGUAAAGGUUCCUUGAUGUAUGUUAUUUGUAGAUGAUGUGGUUCUGAUUGACGAGACUCGGGGUGGAGUUAAUGAUAAGUUGGAAAUUUGAAGACAGGCGCUUGAUCUAAAGGUUUUCGGUUAAGUAGAAUCAAGACGGAGUACUUGGAGUGUAAGUUCAGUGAUAUGUCACAAGAAGAUGAAGUAGUUAUGAAGCUAGACUCUCAGGCCAUCCAGAAGAGGGAGAGUUUCAAGUAUCUGGGGUCUAUAAUUCAGGGUAAUAGUGAGAUUGACGAGGAUGUCACGCAUCAUAUUGGGGCAGGGUGGUUGAAGUGAAGGCUCGCCUCAGGAGUCUUUUGUAAUAAGAAGGUGCCCCCGAAGCUUAAAAGUAAGUUCUACAGAGUGGUAGUCUAGAUGGCUAUAUUAUAUGGAGCGAAGUAUUGGCCAAUUAAGAACUCCCACAUCCAAAAGGUGAAAGUGGUGGAUAUGCGAAUGUUGCGAUGGAUGUGUAGACAUACUACAAAAGAUAGCGUGAGGAAUGAGAUUAUUCGGGAGAAGGUGGGAGUUGCCUCGGUGAAGGAUAAGUUGCGAGAAAUGAGGCUACGUUGGUUCGGGCAUGUGAUGAGGAGGGGCCUUGAUGCUCUAGUACGGAGGUAUAAGACUCUGGCUAGGGAUGGCUUUAGGCGGGCUAGAGGUAGACCGAAGAAAUAUUGGAGGGGGGUGAUUAGGCAUGAUAUGGAGCAAUUACAGCUUACAGAGGACAUGACCCUUGAUAGAAAAGUGUAGAGAAUGCGGAUUAGGGUAGAGAGUUAGGGGGUGGGAGCGCGGAGGUAGUAAUAGGGAGUGCUCCUUUGGGUCUGGAGUUUCUGGUUCGUAGUGUUGUGGCUGUAGUUUGGGGCUAGUGGUGUUGUCUUUUUUGCAUUCCGUACUAGUUUAUUAUGCACUUAUCUUUUGUGUUUGUUAUACGGUUAGUUUGUUUUGUGUACCAUACAAGUUUAUAUGCGCCUACUUUUUGUAUUUGUUAUACUGUUAUUGGUCCUAAGCCGGGGAUUUAUCGAAAACAGCCUCUCUACUUCUCUUGAGGUAGUGGUAUAAUCUGCGUACACUCUACCCUCCCCAGACCCCACUAGGUGGGAAUACACUAGGUAUGUUGUUGUUGUUGUUGCUAGUGUACAUUUAUUUGUGAAAAUUUGAAAAGUAAGAGUUAAAAUUAGAUAAGAAUGAAUGUAAUAGUAAAAAAUACACAUAAAAACAUGUAGCUGAAAUAAAGUAUAAAUAACAAUAGCAAUAAUAAUAAUUUUAUUUUAAGGAAGAAAUAAAUAAUAAAAAUAGCGAUAAAAUAUCUUAUAUAUAGUAGUGCAUAUUAUAUGUACCUUGUAUUUUUUUUUUUUUUUUAAGAUUAUAAAAAAUCAGAAAAAAUCUUGAAGUAAUGUUAAGGAGUAAAUAUAGAGUGCCAUAAAAUUUGAACCAUAUUAAAUUGUAUAAAAAUUAAAUUUUUGAUAAGUGAAUUAUUUGCAAAUAUAAAUGGGUUAACUAAUUGACACUUAUUUAUAGUGAUUUACUUGAAAAACUCCAAUUAAGAUGAUAAAACCGUUGAGAAAUAUUAUUUGCAAAUGAAUAGUUAACCAUGAUAUUCAGUUCAGAAAAAAAUAUAUUUUUCAUUUGAGGUCGCACAUAAAGCCCAAGUUUGUCUCCUUUAUUCUAAAAAAUUUAUUCGUAUGCUAAAAGUAAAUGCUUGAGCGAUAUGUUGUGUUAUGUCUAAUAGAAAAACAAAUGAACGAGAGAUUAGCUAAAGAAAACCAACUCGAGAAAAUUAAGUAGGAGGUGAAAAAAAAAAUCUUUAAAUUAAAAAUGGUGACAACUUUGACCGAUUAAGGCCAAAACUUUAUUUAAAUUGUGAUUAAAUUAAUUGGGGAGUAAAGUAUAAUUUUUAAAACCUUUUUAAUUUUUUAAAAAGUCCUCCAACUUCAAAUUUCAAGUUUUAGAAUUUUCCCCCUUUUUUCUUAUCUUUUAAUUUUCCUCUUCUUUUUCUUUCUCCUCAUGUUCUUCUUCUUAUUUUUCUCUCUCUAGAUUUUCCUUUUCUUUCGUCUUCUUUUUCUUUCUCUUUUCAUUUUCUUCUUCCUUUUUUAAUUUUUAUGGACUAUUUUUAUAAAAAAUUAAAAAGUUUGAAAAAAAAUUUUUUAAUUUCUUUUAAAAAUGAUUGAAAAAAUAAUUUAACAAAUUCAGCAACUACAGUAAUUGCUGCAACAACAACUAUUAGUUGUUGUGUUACAGCAAUCAUCGAAGUUGCUAUAGCAAUUAUUAAAGUUGCAGCAGUAACUAUCGAAGUUGCUGCAACAAUUAUCGAAGUUGCUGCUUAAUUUCUGAAAAAAAGUCUGAAUGGAGGAGCCCACAAAAAGUGAUAUUUAUGGUAAAAAAAAAGAGGCAGUGGUGCUAGUGGUGACGCCAAAUGAGAAGAUGAUAUUUGUUGUGGUGUUGAUAGCGACUGUGGUAGAGGAAAAAAGGAAAAAUAGACUACAGUUAUGUAGAGGGAGAAAAUAAUGAUGAAUCUGGAAGAGGUGGCAAUGAUAGUGAUAGUAGAGGAAGAGGAGGUGGCAACGGCGAGCGGCAACAAAAAAGGUGUGGGGAAAAAAAAAAAAGGUGUAGAAAUCUUUGUGUAAAUAUAAGGUAAGGAUCUUUGUAUACAUAAUAAAACUUGAGGAUUUUAAAAUUAGUGUCAUUAACACUAAUUUUAAAAUUAUCACCUCUACUCAAUAUUUAAGACUUGUGUCACUUUUUUUUUAUUUUGAAACUUUUUUGUCACCUUAAUUAAUUUGCCAACCAACUCUAGGUCAUUAAAGCUAAAUGAGAUAAAUGAAUAUAAAGCUAAUUCAAAUUUAAUUAUUCACAUAAAAAUUCAUAAUCAAGUACAUAUAAGGGUUAGUAAAACAUGUACAAAUAAUAAAAUAAUCAAGGAGGAAAAAAGAUCGAUAUUAUAAGUUUCUAUUGAACGAAUCGGAUCCUAACGAUUUAGACCCCGAGUUAUGUGAUCUAUUGCUGUUGAACCGAUAUUUUGAUCGAAAUGAAGUUUCAAUUGAAACUCCAACUCCCGAGUUCACAUGAAAAAAAAGAUUAGGAGUAGAAAUCGAACUUGAGUUAUAUAAAUAAGUAAUAAAAAUAAUAUGCUAUGUAACCAGAUAAUUCAAACUUCAGUGUGCUGAUUACGUAAAACAGAGAAAAAUAAAUGAACUUAAACAUGCACCUGACAAAUUAUUACCAAGUGGAGCAAUAUUUUAGCAAGCAAUGGUUAGAUGAAGCUACACGUCAUUAAUAUCUCAAACUAUUCAAAAUAUCUCAAACUAUUCAAAAUACUAUCAUUCUAUUCUAAAGAAAAUUAGAAGCAAUUCCAAGCUAAUUGUUUUGAAGACUGGACAUAUGGCAACAUAAAUCAAAUUAACCGCCUAUUUUAUUCAAGCUCACCAAUAUAAGCAUGAAGUGAAAAUUUAGACGAGCUUAUCAAGAAUAGGCUCUUCAAGCUUGUUAGAAAUUGAAUAGUCAGUAUCUAAUUGACGUCGAACACCUUUUAUUCAUAAUUGAGAAGACACAAACCCAUAUAGAGAGGGAGAGAUUGAUUCUUGAAUCAAAAAUGAACUUAUGCUAACAUAGGUUGACCACACUUAAUUAGUAACACACAAUGAACAAAACAGAGAUUCGAAAAUGCAAGUUCAGUUGCUCGGGCAACUUAUUCAUACUACAACUAGUUGGGAUAUUUUUCAAGUCAUUAUGAACCUAAAAGAACUCACAAUUAUAAAUAAGUGCUAUAAAAAACAUGAAACGUAAGAAAAAAUUUGGGACACCAAAAAGUUUUCAAACUUAAACCAACUCGAACUCAAAAACAACCACAGCUUAAAAUAAAUCAAGACAGGACCAUAUUUUUUUUUGAAAAUUUGAUUCUCGAGAGCGAACAACACUACUACGACCCAAACUUGAAACAAAAAAUGUAAAAUAUAUUCACACACAAAUCCAUUUCAGAUUCGACAACAAAAAUAUAUACUUGAUCAAAAUUCACAAACCAACUUAUCUUUUAAAAUCAACAACAACGCCAUAAACUUGAUCAAAAGUUAGGAAAAAAUCAUAUACUCGUGGAAAAAAAAGAAAAGCUGAAGGAGACGAAGGUGAAAAAUAAUUCCAAAGGGAUAGGUUCGCACCUUUUUUGAGGCAGCUAAUCGGAGCUUCAACGUUAAGGGUUUUCCGACAAUAAAACUCGAACUCCAGAAACUCUAACUUAAACCAAAAUCAAGAAGAGGAAAAAUCUUCGUGACUUUUCUUGUGGGUUUUCCCAAACGUUAGAAGAUAAUUUUUGAGAGUGUUAACUGGUUUUUCCCUAAUUUUUCAACUGUCAACUUGUUAUUUCGAAUUUGCAACUUGUUCUAUGGGAUGGAGAACACCCAUAUAUAGGCAAUCCGGACUUUAAAGUUCGAAUUUGAAACCCAAAAUUAACAAAAUGUGGGAAGAAAAUGGCNNNNNNNNNNNNNNNNNNNNNNNNNNNNNNNNNNNNNNNNNGGGGGGGGGGGAGUGGAGAUUUAAAUUUUGAAUUCAAAAUUGAACGAAUCUUCUCCUUUCUCCGUACUCUGAUGAUUUUCACAACAUUAAUGGCGGAUUUGAAGCAACAAAUAGAUCGUUGCAUCUACUUGAUACCUGACUUUUGCUGAUUCGGUUGAUUCACGGGUUGACGAUGUUAAAAAAAAAAAAAAAAAUCUUCCCAGGGGUAGCAGGAAUUCAACAACCAUGGUGCAGCUAGGGGUCGCGGUUUCGGGGGUGACGAAGGAGAGGAGAAGGAGAAAGACGAAGAAGGGUCGUCAAUGUUUUGUUGCUUUUCUGUAAAGAGAUAAUGAAAGAUCCGUGGGAUAUGGGGAAAAGGAAAAUGGACACAUUUUCUAAUUUUUUUGGAACAAGGAAUAUGCAUUUUGGUACUCG